RNAcentral lists this unclassified non-coding RNA (215 nucleotides) under uncultured Entoloma. Its description in RNAcentral is "sequence contains ITS2". Lineage: Eukaryota; Fungi; Basidiomycota; Agaricomycetes; Agaricales; Entolomataceae. The record is from RNAcentral.
AAUUAUCAACCUUUCAAGCUUAAACAAGCUUGGUCAGGCUUGGAUCUUGGGGGUGUGCUGGUUCUAGCGAAUCGGCUCUCUUUAAAUGCAUUAGCAAGAUCAGUCACUGAAUUGUCUUUGAUAUGAUAAUUAUCUAUAUCACUGAUGAAGUAGUGUUUUUCCUCAGCGGAAAGGAUCUGGCUUUCUAAUCGUCGUUAAAGACAAUUAAAUGAAUC